GAUAUGGCUCAGGAUGAACGCUAGCUACAGGCUUAACACAUGCAAGUCGAGGGGCAGCAUUUUAGUUUGCUUGCAAACUAAAGAUGGCGACCGGCGCACGGGUGAGUAACACGUAUCCAACCUGCCGAUAACUCGGGGAUAGCCUUUCGAAAGAAAGAUUAAUAUCCGAUAGUAUAUUUUCUCCGCAUGGUGAGAAUAUUAAAGAAUUUCGGUUAUCGAUGGGGAUGCGUUCCAUUAGUUUGUUGGCGGGG
RNAcentral lists this ribosomal RNA (251 nucleotides) under uncultured bacterium. RNAcentral's name for it is "partial 16S ribosomal RNA". It matches the Rfam family "Bacterial small subunit ribosomal RNA", at positions 15 to 257 of the family's 1533-position model. The record is from RNAcentral.